This 507-nucleotide ribosomal RNA is filed under the name uncultured bacterium. Its description in RNAcentral is "bacterial SSU rRNA". It matches the Rfam family "Bacterial small subunit ribosomal RNA", at positions 15 to 518 of the family's 1533-position model. The record is from RNAcentral.
GAUUAUGGCUCAGGAUGAACGCUGGCGGCGUGCCUAAUACAUGCAAGUCGAACGGAGUAUCUUCGGAUACUUAGUGGCGAACGGGUGAGUAAUACUUGAACAACCUGCCCCUUGACUGGGAUAACCGUCUGAAAAGACAGCUAAUACCGGAUAGGUAAUAUUGAGGCAUCUCGAUAUUAUUAAAGAUGGGUUACAUCACAUUGGGAUGGGUUCAAGUCGCAUUAGCUAGUUGGUGAGGUAACGGCCCACCAAGGCGACGAUGCGUAGCCGAUCUGAGAGGAUGAACGGCCACAUUGGGACUGAGACACGGCCCAGACUCCUACGGGAGGCAGCAGUAGGGAAUUUUCGGCAAUGGGCGCAAGCCUGACCGAGCAACGCCGCGUGAACGAUGAAGGUUCUUUGGAUUGUAAAGUUCUGUUACGAGGGAAGAACAUCUGGUAUAGGGAAUGAUAUCAGACUGACGGUACCUCGCCAGAAAGCCACGGCUAACUACGUGCCAGCAGCCGC